GUAAAAUAUUUUGUUUCAAUCUUGUUUUGAUUGUUGCAAGGUUAUGAUUAAGAUUGUGUUGAUUAAUAUUUUUUGUUUCUGUCUUUGUGUGGUGAGAUGAAUGGAUGAAGUCGGCUUUGAUGUGUUCUGUGGAAAUAGAGGUCAGGAAGCUUCAUCAAUACAGGUUAGUGUUACUUUUCCAUGAAUUAGAACUGAUGUGGUUAGCUUCUGUGAGGAAUUAAAGAUGUAGUUAACUGUAACAUUAUGGUUGUGAUGAUGGUAAUAAAUAGAACUGACGGUUAGAUAGAAAAGGGAACGUGAAGUGUGUUGAAUGAAUUAGAUAAAUGUC
RNAcentral lists this long non-coding RNA (328 nucleotides) under Brassica napus (rape). RNAcentral describes it as "long non-coding RNA (BNAP_LNC019332)". The record is from RNAcentral. Lineage: Eukaryota; Viridiplantae; Streptophyta; Magnoliopsida; Brassicales; Brassicaceae.